Molecule: long non-coding RNA, 328 nt
Organism: Alligator mississippiensis (American alligator)
Lineage: Eukaryota; Metazoa; Chordata; Crocodylia; Alligatoridae
Exons: 3
Source: RefSeq, a predicted model, not a curated record
GCUUGAUUGCGGCAGCCAUUUUUAGGUCUCUGGCCACCUAUAUAAACAGGGCAGUUCACUUCAGGCAGGCCAGGUAGUAACAUUGUGUGGCUGCAAGGCUGAAUGCAACAUCCUGGAGGUGGUUUUGUCCUUUCAGCAUUGAAGGGGACCUCAUCUGUCUUCACAAUACAAAUGCCUCAACAUCUCAGACAUCUCCACUGGCAUCUGCACAGGAACUGAAAGGAAGAAUUGGAAGGAAUAGAUGUCCUUCAGCAUAUGUGGACCCAUCGGGAUUCAGGCCUACUUGUGUAAAUAAAGACUGAAGAUCAUACAAUGCAGCCUUACUUAU